UGCAUAAAUCCUAAUGGAUCCGGCUAUUUGGCACGCAGGCUCAUAACCUGAAGGUCGUAGGUUCAAAUCCUACUCCCGCAACCA
This 84-nucleotide transfer RNA is filed under the name Pontibaca salina. Its description in RNAcentral is "tRNA-Leu". The record is from RNAcentral. Lineage: Bacteria; Pseudomonadati; Pseudomonadota; Alphaproteobacteria; Rhodobacterales; Roseobacteraceae.